Phasianus colchicus (ring-necked pheasant) is the source of this 1769-nucleotide long non-coding RNA. Lineage: Eukaryota; Metazoa; Chordata; Aves; Galliformes; Phasianidae. The record is from Ensembl.
AAUGACUAGGAUGUAGUCAGAAGACAUAACCACAGAUAUAUAGUUACACAUUUAAAAGAGUCUAUUAAAGGCCUUUCUGGCUUUGCUCUGAAUUUACAAUAUGAGAAUUUCCAAAGAGUGUAUUUUCUGAAACAACUUUCAUUGCCUUGGGAUAAUUUCUCUUUUUUUUUUUUUCCCCUUUAAUGUGAUUUGUCAUGGUAGAACCUAGACAUUUUUCCAUGUGUGCUUACUUUGUGUUUUCUGUGGCCUGCAAGGAAUUAGUUUUAAUUAACGAGACUGGCAAAUGCAUUGUUGAAACAGUCUUUGUGGUAGACACGCCUUUGUGUUAACAGUUGGGUUAAACAUCCCCUUUAUCAGAGCUAUUAGCACCUAAUAUUACUGUCUGAUUAAAGAUCAUUCAGUGGAUUAUCCAGUCCCAGCGCUUCCGCAUACCCCCAGACAGGUGCUCAAAUAAGGAAUUACGUUAAGUAAAUUAGCACUAGUAUCGCAUCCUUAAUGGCUUUGUCUUGGCUGCGGAAAAGAAAAAGUUACUGGGCUGUUUGGAUGCGUCUUUGUCGCUCUUAAGCAGCAGGUUGCCUUGCACAAGCUCCGUAGAUUUACAUUAGAAAAAAGACCUUUGUUUUGUUGUUCACCUGGUCUUCCUUUUCUCAUCGGUGAGCACCGUGCCUUUCCUCCACGCAGAUUUCUUCUUUGGUGGUGCUAGAGAGAGCUGAUGAGACAGGAAGAAAGUGGCAGGAAUUGCUGGGUCUGACCUUCACUAAUGCUAAGCUUGGAGCUGCACUGAAGCUAUUUUAAACAAGGUCACUUUGGAUAGGAGACUAGAAAAGCAAAUCUGUCUUUUUUGUCACUGCAUUUUUCCCACUGCAUUUCUAAUGUCACCAAUGGUUGAAGUGGAUACGCAUCAAAUGCAAACAGAAUGGACAGGAGAGAAUCAAAUCACCACUUGAAUGAAGUCAGUCUGUGAGCAGUGGAACUCAGAAGAGACUUCUUCAGACUGUUCACCUUACCUGGGAGAUUGCACAAGAUAUAAGAGAAGCGCAAGACUUGGAAGCCUCUGUGGGAGAGAAGACAGGAAUGCCACUCGCUGCAUUUCUCAGCUUAACUUGGCUGGCCGAAUGCUUAACUUGCUGAAGAACAGUGACAGUUACAGACAGGCUGUCUCUUUCCAUGCCCGCUGAUGGGGUGAGCUCUCAGGCACUUAUAUAAUUGCUCCUAGCUGCUGGUGCUAAAUUGUUGGCUUGAAGAGGAUUGUGCAGUCUGAACCUGAUGGCUGACUGCUGCCACAGAAACUUCAGUUUAAUUGCUGAUGGAAUUGGACAUACAUACGAAAAGAAUCGAGUUCGUGUAAUUUAGCCGUAAAGGAAAUACUCUUGCAUUAAAAGAAGGUUCUGAUGUAGCAAAAUUAAGCUAUACGUGUUUGAGUAUAAGCAUAUAUAGCUCAGGUUUUGAAUACCUGAGGGAUGCUUCCCUUUGGAUGUCUAUUACUGAUGACAGUGCAGCAUCAGAAGUGCUAUGCGGGUUCUCUGAGCACGACAAAUAAUGAUGGCUGUAAGUAACGGCCUCCAAAACUGUGUUUCCUGAAAAGCAGCUCACACACACUGCCACUGCAGUCGAACUUCCUUUAUAUGAGACCCUCGUACUCUCCCCGGUUCCUUUCCUUCUGCAUUCCCACCUUCCUGCCCCUUGGCAUUCAUUCACACUGUGUGUUAUUAAAGUUGUCUCUGAAGCUGCCCCAAGGAGUUGUGCACAUUAUUUACAUCACAACAGAG